Long non-coding RNA from Bactrocera tryoni, 396 nucleotides. RefSeq lists it as uncharacterized. The transcript is spliced from 2 exons. Lineage: Eukaryota; Metazoa; Arthropoda; Insecta; Diptera; Tephritidae. The record is from RefSeq and is a predicted model, not a curated record.
UUCGAACUGUCAAAAAUUGUGUAGCUACAAAAAUAUUUACAUGUAAGCAAUGCCUCGCAGAAGUGGAAAAGAAAAAUUACUAAACGGACUGUGCUUAAAAAACAUGUUGGUAUUGCUGCUCCAAGAUUCAAUGAAGAUGAGGACUGCGAUAUUCUAACGGACUUUAAUGUUAGUGCAGCAAAAAUUUAUGUCCUCAAGAAGAUACAGCCACGUAAAUGUGCCAAAAUCUAAAAAUUGGAUUGACACAAUCCUUCCCAACUUCGAUAACAAUCGUAUGCGGCAAAUGUUACGACUGGAAUCUCCGGAAUUUCAACAUAUUUUAAGCUUAAUCAAAGAAGAUACUGCUUUUAAAAAUAAAAAUUCGGUUCCUCAAAUGCCAGUGGAAUUGCAAUUAAA